CGCGCACGCCUGACCGGAGCACCCCGCUUCACGGGGGCGUUCUGCGCGUCCUUCCUCCCCGGCUGCCUAGAUCACACGGCCCCGUUUCAUUCAUUUUUACUGAAUAACGGUCGUUGGACAAUUUAGAGAAGCAGCAGAAACCACGAGAAAAACAGUGGAGUCAAACGGCGGUAAGGACCGACAAGGCUGGCGGGGACAUUGAGCAAACGGCGGCUUCUGAGUUGGCACCUGUCCUUCACCACGUUGUGUGGGAAGUGUGGGGAGUCGGGAUUCCCACUCCUCCCCAGCCUUCCGGAAAAAUGCUCGGAAAUUUCCUUCCACAUUGACACCUGAUUACAGUCUAAAUAGUAACCUUAUUCUGAUUGUUAAUGUAACCCUCUCGUAAUCUCUACAAAAAUACUUUAGUUUUUCUAGCU
Long non-coding RNA from Homo sapiens (human), 416 nucleotides. Ensembl annotates it as long intergenic non-protein coding RNA 1388. The record is from Ensembl. Lineage: Eukaryota; Metazoa; Chordata; Mammalia; Primates; Hominidae.